This 273-nucleotide long non-coding RNA is filed under the name Lathyrus oleraceus (garden pea). Its description in RNAcentral is "Pisum sativum (pea) long non-coding RNA (PSAT_LNC014253)". Lineage: Eukaryota; Viridiplantae; Streptophyta; Magnoliopsida; Fabales; Fabaceae. The record is from RNAcentral.
UUUUAUCUUUUUAUUCUUUUUUUUUCCUUUUACAGAUCAGAAGGAACAUGUAAUGACAUCCUUCUUUUCUUUUCCUAAUAUUUUUUCAAUUUUUUUAUUUUUCAAUUUUUUUUAUUUUAUUCUGCCAACUUGUUUUCUUUCAAAUAUCACAAUUAUUCAACCUCACACAACUCCAGCAAGACUCUUUCAACCCUUUGAAUGAGUCAUAACAUUGUUUUUCACUUUCAACCUUGUAAUAAGUUUAAACAAAGAAUGAGAUAAUAUGCUCAAUGA